CCUACGGGAGGCAGCAGUGAGGAAUAUUGGUCAAUGGACGGAAGUCUGAACCAGCCAAGCCGCGUGCGGGAAGAAGGUACUGCGUAUCGUAAACCGCUUUUGUAAGGGGAUAAACGCGGGUACUAGUCCCUGUCUGAAGGUACCUGAAGAAAAAGCAUCGGCUAACUCCGUGCCAGCAGCCGCGGUAAUACGGAGGAUUCGAGCGUUAUCCGGAUUUAUUGGGUUUAAAGGGUGCGGAGGCGGGCGGGUAAGUUAGCGGGGAAAUCCCGAGGGCCAACCUCGGCUGUGCCGCUGAAACUGGUGGGCUGGAGUGGGAGAGAGGUAGGCGGAAUGGGUGGUGUAGCGGUGAAAUGCUUAGAUAUCGCGCAGAACACCGAUUGCGAAGGCAGCGUACCG
RNAcentral lists this ribosomal RNA (396 nucleotides) under uncultured bacterium. Its description in RNAcentral is "partial 16S ribosomal RNA". It matches the Rfam family "Bacterial small subunit ribosomal RNA", at positions 338 to 731 of the family's 1533-position model. The record is from RNAcentral.